GCCUGGGUGGCUCAGUCGGUUAAGCGUCCGACUUCCACUCGGGUCAUGAUAACGCGGUUCGUGAGUUCGAGCUCCGCCUCGGGCU
Molecule: transfer RNA, 85 nt
Organism: Felis catus (domestic cat)
Lineage: Eukaryota; Metazoa; Chordata; Mammalia; Carnivora; Felidae
Rfam family: tRNA
About the family: Transfer RNA (tRNA) molecules are approximately 80 nucleotides in length.
Source: Rfam